RNA transcript from Hippopotamus amphibius kiboko, 1063 nucleotides. It is a transcript of the gene named actin nucleation-promoting factor WASL-like, with no coding region annotated. The record is from RefSeq and is a predicted model, not a curated record. The transcript has 4 exons. Lineage: Eukaryota; Metazoa; Chordata; Mammalia; Artiodactyla; Hippopotamidae.
UCAGGAGCGCAGCCAUGUUGGCGGCGGCGGCGGCGGGACUGGAAGAGGAGGAGGAGGAGGAGACGGAGGAGGAGAAGGAGGAGGCGGAGGUGGGGACGGCGGCCGGGGCGCGCCCCGAGGCCCGGCUCCAGCCGGGCAUGCUCCCCCUCCCCUCCCCCUCGGCGCGCGCCGCUCCCUCGCCGGCCCCGCGAGAAAACUCGCCCCGAAACGCCGGCCCGGGCGCCGCCCCCCGAACACGAUCACACCUCCGAGAGGAAAGUGGCCCGGCCGUGUUCGCCAGGGCCCCCCCACCCCCGACGGCUCGGGGGCCGCCUCGGCCCGGCCCGUGCGCCCCAGCCCGCCUCACCGGGGCCCCGCGGCCGCCGGCCCCUCCGCCAUGCCCGCCGCCGCCGCCGCCGGUUGAAUUGUGUCUCCCCUCCAAAAAGAUAUGUUCAAACCCUGACUCUCAGCACCUGUGAAUGUGACCUGAUUUGGAAAGGGGAAUUUGGACACAGACACACACACACAGAGGAGAAGACCGUGUGAAGACAGACACAGAGGUUGGAGUGAUGCAUCUCCAAGUCAAAAAAAGCCAAGGGUUGCCAGCAACCUCCAAAAGCUGGGGAAGGAGGUCUGGAACACUCUCCCUCAGAGCCUCCCAGAAGGAACGAAUUCUGCUAACACCCCAAUUUCUGACCUCCAGCCUCCAGAACUCAUGCGGAAUCCUAGUUCCCUGACCAGGGAUUGAACACGUGCCCCUGCAGUAGAAGCACCGAGUCUCAACCAAUGGAUCAGCAGGGAAGUCCCAAGUUGUGGGUAACAUUCCUGCAGAAUUUUGAAAGCAUUGCUUAAGUGUCUUCUCACUUCCGGUGCUUCUGUUGAGACAUUCAAGCCAUUUUAAUUCCUGAUCUGAUCCCUCUCCCUUUGGUGAGAUCUCUUUGUCUUCCGUGUUCUGAAUUAUAAUGAUUUGUCUUGAUACGGGUCGUCUAUUUUCAUCCAUUAUGUCAGGUGUUCAAUGGGCCCUUUUAAUCUGGAAGUGCAUGUCCUUCAGUUUCGGAAAAUUUUCUUCAAGCAUUUCUUUCAU